Molecule: unclassified non-coding RNA, 314 nt
Filed under: uncultured fungus
Lineage: Eukaryota; Fungi
Description: partial contains small subunit ribosomal RNA, internal transcribed spacer 1, and 5.8S ribosomal RNA
Rfam family: Eukaryotic small subunit ribosomal RNA (bases 1-73)
Source: RNAcentral
GCAAACUUGGUCAUUUAGAGGAAGUAAAAGUCGUAACAAGGUUUCCGUAGGUGAACCUGCGGAAGGAUCAUUACUGAGAUUUUGGGUUUCUUCUUCGGAAGAGCCCGACCUCCCGACCCCUGCAUUGGAGUUUCAAGGAUGUGCCGGGCUUUCAAUGGCUCUGUGCGCUCCCUCCUCUGCAAAACUCAUGAAAACGCUUCGCAGCUUCUUGUGUUUUUACACACUAUAGCAGCAAGCACAUGAAUUUAAAAAAACAAAUCUUCAAAACUUUCAACAACGGAUCUCUUGGUUCUGGCAUCGAUGAAGAACGCAGC